AUUGAACGCUGGCGGCAUGCUUUACACAUGCAAGUCGAACGGCAGCGCGGGCUUCGGCCUGGCGGCGAGUGGCGAACGGGUGAGUAAUGCAUCGGAACGUGCCCAGUAGUGGUGGAUAGCCCGGCGAAAGCCGGAUUAAUACCGCAUACGACCUGAGGGUGAAAGCGGGGGACCGAAAGGCCUCGCGCUAUUGGAGCGGCCGAUGUCGGAUUAGCUAGUUGGUGGGGUAAAGGCUUACCAAGGCGACGAUCCGUAGCUGGUCUGAGAGGACGACCAGCCACACUGGGACUGAGACACGGCCCAGACUCCUACGGGAGGCAGCAGUGGGGAAUUUUGGACAAUGGGGGCAACCCUGAUCCAGCCAUGCCGCGUGCGGGAAGAAGGCCUUCGGGUUGUAAACCGCUUUUGUUCGGGAAGAAAUCCUCUGGGCUAAUACCCCGGGGGGAUGACGGUACCGGAAGAAUAAGCACCGGCUAACUACGUG
RNAcentral lists this ribosomal RNA (484 nucleotides) under uncultured bacterium. Its description in RNAcentral is "partial 16S ribosomal RNA". It matches the Rfam family "Bacterial small subunit ribosomal RNA", at positions 28 to 507 of the family's 1533-position model. The record is from RNAcentral.